RNAcentral lists this unclassified non-coding RNA (1192 nucleotides) under Hevea brasiliensis (rubber tree). The record is from RNAcentral. Lineage: Eukaryota; Viridiplantae; Streptophyta; Magnoliopsida; Malpighiales; Euphorbiaceae.
AGUGUUUCACGCUCCAAGUGUUCGGUCUUGGGCGUAAGGGGAGUAUGUUAAGAUCUCAAAUUGGUUUAGGAUAGAGGUAAUGUACCCCUUAUAUGACCUUGGGCACUCCUCCCCUCUUGAGCUAGCUUUUGGGGGUUAGUUAGGCUCAGCCCAUUUUCUUAAGGCCUUGUAUCCUAAGCUACGACAGGAUAGAGAGUUGUAUCAUGGCAUUGUGAGAAACAAGUAUAUGCUUAUUUACUUGAAUAUUGGAAUAGGGUUCAUCAUAUCAUUUUGCAAGAAAAUCUUUGUAAUUCCAAGAUUCAAGGUUGUCUUGUAGAGCUAUUGGUGCUAUGGUGGGUGGUUGAAAUUUUAGAUUUUAACUGCAACUUAAAGCACUAAUUACAAGAAGUUCAAAAUGACCAAAAAAAAAAUUUAUAAAUGUCCAUUUUUCUGCAACACUAAUUGCUUUCGGUUGUACAAGAACACAGGAGUAACUUGGAUUAUUAAUUUGAGCACUUCCUCCCCAUUUCGGCUACAACAAAAAUUUAGUCAUCAGCUAAUGAAUUGCUGGCUGCUAAAUCUAAGAGAAGUAACUUCCUACAUUUCUAUUGUAUUGUCAAAAUGUGAAAUGGUUUGGUUUGAAUCCCAUAAAAAAUGAUACAAAGGAAUGGUUUGUAAUUUUUUAUGGUUUAGUUUAACAUCUAGUUUGUUAAAUGCCUCUUCCUUGCAGGAUUCUCUCCCAUUCUCUCUUUAACAUUACUGGAAUAAGAAGUAUGCAUCUAAACAAAUAUUAGCAUUUCAAAAUCUUUGCAGACUUUUGUUGGUUUGAAAUGGAGAGGUUUUGGUGGCAGGAAACCUCCAAAGUUCCUUGGAAUUGUAUUUUUUUGUUGUCAUUGAGUCUUUGGAUAGAAAAAAAUGCAUGUAUCUUCAAAAGUCAGAGUUUGUCCUUUAAUUUGUUGUGGACAAGGUUGUGUUUUUGGCUUCUAUUUCAUAUGCUUCUGCAGCUACUUUUAUUUUUUAGGGUGGGUGGGGGAGUGGUCUUUGAGUAUCACCCAACUUGAUUGGAUAUUGCUUUUAGGAGUAUCCCUUGUUGUUCACAGUGUAUUUUCCUACAUUAUUUCCUAAUAAAAUUUAUUUGAACUUUCACAUCUAUGAUAACUUCUAAUUGUUUUCUGUUUGAUGCUUGAAGGUAUAUAAAUUAACUGGUUUUCUU